AGGGAAUAUUGGACAAUGGGCGCAAGCCUGAUCCAGCCAUCCCGCGUGAAGGAUUAAGGCCCUCUGGGUUGUAAACUUCUUUUCUUUGGGAAUAAAAACUCUGAUUCAUCGGAGCUUGAAGGUACCAGAGGAAUAAGCACCGGCUAACUCCGUGCCAGCAGCCGCGGUAAUACGGAGGGUGCAAGCGUUAUCCGGAUUCACUGGGUUUAAAGGGUGCGUAGGUGGCUUUGUAAGUCAGUGGUGAAAGCCCGGAGCUCAACUCCGGAACUGCCAUUGAUACUGCUUAGCUUGAAUCAGGUCGAGGUGGAUGGAAUAUUACAUGUAGCGGUGAAAUGCUUAGAUAUGUAAUAGAACACCGAUUGCGAAGGCAGUUCACUAGGCCUGUAUUGACACUGAGGCACGAAAGCGUGGGGAUCAAAC
This 420-nucleotide ribosomal RNA is filed under the name uncultured bacterium. RNAcentral's name for it is "bacterial SSU rRNA". It matches the Rfam family "Bacterial small subunit ribosomal RNA", at positions 356 to 773 of the family's 1533-position model. The record is from RNAcentral.